This is a non-coding RNA of Ceratotherium simum simum (southern white rhinoceros), 89 nucleotides long. The record is from RefSeq and is a predicted model, not a curated record. NCBI's taxonomy places the organism in Eukaryota, Metazoa, Chordata, Mammalia, Perissodactyla, Rhinocerotidae.
UCAGGCCAUGCUGUGGUCGCGUCCCACAUAAAAUGAACUAGAAGGACUUGUAACUAUGAUAUACAACAAUGCACUGGGGCUUUGGGGAG